AACGGCAAAAUUUCCUUAAAAUUACCAAUUCAGGACAGUAACCUAACAACGGGUUGUCCGAUCCAUGUGAAAACAUCAGGGCAGAUAGAUCUUUACCUGAUAAACAAUUAAACCCUGUCAGAUUUUCUCUUAAUGCUUCGGUUUUUGAGUUAUAAGCCAAAAACUGCAUUUUACCCCUAUGUUCUAUUAUUAGCCGUGGCAGCCAUUUUGAUUGAUUGGCCAGGUCACGCCACACAUUUUUUAAACAAAUUACCCCAAUGAUGAUUGUGGCAAAGCUUAGUUUAAUUUGGCCCAGUAGUUUCAGAGAAGAAGAUUUUUGUAAAAGAUUACUAAGAUUUAUGAAAAAAUGGUUAAAAAUUGACUAUAAAGGGCAAUAACUCCUUCAGGGGUCAACUGACCAUUUUGGUCAUGCUGACUUAUUUGUAAAUCUUACUUUGCUGAACAUUAUUGCUG
Molecule: long non-coding RNA, 453 nt
Filed under: Mytilus galloprovincialis (Mediterranean mussel)
Lineage: Eukaryota; Metazoa; Mollusca; Bivalvia; Mytilida; Mytilidae
Source: RNAcentral